This is a long non-coding RNA of Numida meleagris (helmeted guineafowl), 2996 nucleotides long. RefSeq lists it as uncharacterized. The record is from RefSeq and is a predicted model, not a curated record. The transcript is spliced from 3 exons. NCBI's taxonomy places the organism in Eukaryota, Metazoa, Chordata, Aves, Galliformes, Numididae.
UGAGGUAAAACUACUAUUAUAACCUCACUAGAAAUUUUAUUAUCCUAACAGGUGAGUUGUAAUAGGUGCUCAUUUUAGUCUUGAUUUUUUCUUUUCUUUUCUUUUUUAGAACAAAUUGUGUUCCUGUAGGGGAAGGUAUAAACUUACUAAAUUUUCCAUAUGCUGAUGGAGAGCUAAAAAUGAAUUGGGAGGCCAAGGCUCAACUGCUUGCUCUUUUAUUUGCUCUGUAGACUGUGAAUGAAACAGCUGGAAGGUGGAAGGAAAGAGGGAUUACUCUCACAAAGGUGAAAGUGUGAAGUGGUCAAGCUCCCAAAGUUGCCAAGAGAAAUGAACUCAUCUAGCUAGUGUUUUGGAGAAGAAAACUUACAGUAGUAUUGUAGUUCUUCAACUGACAAACAGCAGAAGAGGAAAGGGAACAUUAAAAAAAAAAAAAGUUUGAUUCUGAGGAAAAGUAUCAUCUCCUUGGUAGAUACAAGCAUUAUCACCUCCUGGUCAGACUUGAUGUAUUUGCCUAUUUCAUACAUACUAAUGUAUUUAAAUACGUACGUCGUGUCUAUUUAAUAUAUUAAACUCAGCAUAUAGUAUAUAUACACAUAUAAAAUAUGCAGCAGAAUGAAUUGUACCUCUUUAUGUGCUUGAACAAAGAUUUGCUUUGCAGAAAAGUUGACAGCCUUUUACCAUAACUGGGACACUGUUUUAUUUGAUGAGGAACAGCAGAUUUUGGUUUCAAAAAUUUCAUUUUGAUUUAAGAAAAACUCAGUGCUCCCUGGAAACUUCUAGCAUUCAACCCAGCCACAGCUGGCACUAAUUUAAGGUAUCUCAGCUUUACAUCUGACUGUGAAAGGGAAGCAUAAAGGGUCUGUUGUUUUGGGGAAAUAAGUUUGUCUAGUCUUUAGGGUUCUUUCUGGCUCAGGGCUCCCAGGAAACCUUCUCAGAUGCAAUAGAUCAGCAGUUUUGUAAGGUAAGUACUUCUGCAUGAGCAUUUUCUGAAAUAUUGUAAUAAGGCUGUUGUGAACUCUAUGCACUUCUGACUCAAGAAGUAGAAAGUAUCUCCAUGACAGAAUAUGGGAUUUCUAGCGUGAUGUUUUUUUCAUGCUCUGUAAGUGGAUGUAUUCAGAAAUCUUAUUUCUUUACAAGAGAGCUUCAGGUCCCAGUGCAUCUCCUCUAAAUUCUUUUUGUAAUUUCUGUAAGUCUGAGGUAGUUUUGCUACAGCACUGCCAUCUUAAUGCUAUUGAAAGUGCUUCUGCUCCAGAUGAGGCUAACUGGGUUAUAGAUCCAGAGUUCAUUUUUCUAAAACUGGGAUUCUGAAUGCUUGCUACUUGUUGUCUAAUGUGCAUGAGCUCAUCUCUCUCCCUCGCUCUUUCUGUUUGGCUUGCUUUUGAUAAGAAGGCUGUUGGCAUCAUCUUGAUGGUCUAUUUGAAUUUUCAUUAUGUAGACCUUGCUUCCAGGCAGACUUUUUGCAAAGUUAUCUCACUUGGAAAUUUCCUAGUUUAGAUUUAGGGCAAUGAGUUAGGCAAGUAGUCUUAUUUCUAAACAUCUGGUGAUGGUACAAAGUCAUUUGCAAUUUUAUUUGAUGUUUAAGUCCUUGGUCUAAUAAUGUUUUGUUGUUGAUUUAUCUAUGGCAGGCACCUGUUUUUCACUGUUGUAGCAGAAAUGUUAAGUCACAGCCUGAACCAGUGAUUGAGCACCUGGUGGGAAGGCAGGGCCAACCCAGGGGAGCUCAGGUGCAUGCAAUGAACCUGAGUGAGCAGAAGGGGUGCAGGCAGGAUCCGCCCCUUCCCAGACUUCAUUUAAAGGUUGGCAGUGGAGGCAAGGGUAUCUUGCUGAAGAUUGCUGCAUAUCUCAGGUCUUCCUAAGGCUGAAAUGUGCCAGGGUUACCAAGGUGCAAGUAGCAGAUUGAACGAGCACUGUGGCUGAGUAAUGUGAACAGGGGUGAUUCCUCAGGCAAGCGUAGUGAAACAGCUACUGGUCCUACUUCAAUCCACUGUAUUCAUAUGGUGAAAUGACUCUGGCUUGAUGAACAGACAUAAGAACAGAACAGACAUGAGACAAAGUACACGUGUCAUGAAUGUCAUUAAGAACACAUUCUCUUGAUUUUUCUUUAGAAACAAAAUGUUAACAGCAUUAUUGUGAGGGUAAAUUAUGAAGAUAAUGCAUCUCCAUUCAUCACAAUCUAAAAGAGCUGCAGUGAAAGAAACAAAAUCCAAACAACUUAAAUGAAAAUCAAAAUGUUAUUGCAAAUCAUGAGACUGUGAAGGAAAAAAAUUACUACAGAGGUAAUAAACCAGACUGUUAUUGUUUGUGCUGUAAGAGCUUUCUCUAAUUUCUUGGGCUAACAAACAAUCCUAUUUAAUUACAAAAGCAUUCUUCUUGAUUAGAGUUGGCUAGUCCUUGCUUGUAUCCUACUGUAUUUCAUGAAUAGAUCAGCUAAGUGUUCUUGAUCAUGUGACAGACUUGGCUGACUACUGCUGCAUAUUUGAAUUGAAGGGAGGAAAAAAAAAAAGGCUGCUUAACUGCAUUCUUUUUUUUUAUUAGCACCAUUCCAAGCCAUAUAACAUCUUUUUUUGGCUGAGUCCAAGCUCUUAGUGUUACUUCCCAAUUUGAAAAGAGAUGAAAGAAAAAGAGGGGGGGGGGUGUUCCAAGUCCACUUAAAUCUGAUCUUGGUUAAAGAGAAAGUAAUUCUCAAUUGACCAGUGAUGUUGCAUUGUGCAGGAGUACAACGGUUUUUCUAAAGCUAGGCACUUUCUAAGUGUUUAGACACUUUCCAGCUGAAAGUUACAUUUGUAUUUUGAUUGAGAAAGAUUGUUCAGGCACAAAAUAUUUUCAGUGAGCUAGAAGGAAUAACUGAAGAAAUACGGGAUUUCAAUCUCCUCACCUGGAUGAGGUGACAUCGUAUCUUGGGUCUCUCACUGCUCACAGUGAGAUCCUGGCAGUGUCAAGCAGUGUGUUCCUGUCAGUAGGGUGUCACAUGUUACCAAGAAAACAAUGGUAGUUAG